GCACUAGUGGUCUAGUGGUAAAAUAGUACCCUACCACGGUACAGUCCCGGGUUCGAUUACUUGCUUGUGCU
This 71-nucleotide transfer RNA is filed under the name Erythranthe guttata (spotted monkey flower). RNAcentral describes it as "Mimulus guttatus (spotted monkey flower) tRNA". It matches the Rfam family "tRNA". From Rfam's summary of the family: Transfer RNA (tRNA) molecules are approximately 80 nucleotides in length. Their secondary structure includes four short double-helical elements and three loops (D, anti-codon, and T loops). Lineage: Eukaryota; Viridiplantae; Streptophyta; Magnoliopsida; Lamiales; Phrymaceae. The record is from Rfam by way of RNAcentral.